UCUAUUAUGGCAGAAUAGUGCAAUGAAUUUAAGCUUCAUAUAUAAGUAAAACUUUUUUAGAA
RNAcentral lists this transfer RNA (62 nucleotides) under Trogoderma variabile. RNAcentral's name for it is "tRNA-Leu". The record is from RNAcentral. Lineage: Eukaryota; Metazoa; Arthropoda; Insecta; Coleoptera; Dermestidae.